RNAcentral lists this ribosomal RNA (321 nucleotides) under Triticum aestivum (bread wheat). Its description in RNAcentral is "partial small subunit ribosomal RNA". The record is from RNAcentral. Lineage: Eukaryota; Viridiplantae; Streptophyta; Magnoliopsida; Poales; Poaceae.
AUGUGGGUGGAUUUACAGCUUAUUAUGAUGAGUAAGCUGCUACUCAAAACUGGAUUGCCUUUGUUUUCACUUGAGUUAUGGAUCGUGCUUACAUUUCAAAACAUUGUGAAUGGCAGACAUAUGCUAUUCAUUUUAAAUAAGCACGGCUUUUUACAAGCAAUGUCAUGGCAAGCAUCGCAAGAUCAGGAGCCGAUGCAUUCAGUGAAGUUUGUUGAAUCUUUGUUUUUCAUGUAUUUAUCCUCAGUUUCUAUCAUUUCUUUUCUUAGGGUAAUUUAUAUCAAUUCUAGUAGCACGAAAAACAUAAAUUUAAAGGACUACUAG